UUAUGGUGGGGACUCAUAGGAGACUGCCGGGGUCAACUCGGAGGAAGGUGGGGAUGACGUCAAGUCAUCAUGCCCCUUAUAUCCAGGGCUUCAAGCAUGCUACAAUGGCCGGUACAAAGGGCUGCGAAACCGCAAGGUGGAGCGAAUCCCAAAAAGCCGGUCUCAGUUCGGAUUGGGGUCUGCAACUCGACCCCAUGAAGUCGGAGUCGCUAGUAAUCGCAGAUCAGCAACGCUGCGGUGAAUACGUUCCCGGGCCUUGUACACACCGCCCGUCACGUCAUGAAAGUCGGCAACACCCGAAGCCAGUGGCCCAACCGUUUACGGAGGGAGCUGUCGAAGGUGGGGCUGGCGAUUGGGACGAAGUCGUAACAAGGUAGCCGUACCGGAAGGUGCGGCUGGAUCACCUCCUUUCUAAGGAGCA
RNAcentral lists this ribosomal RNA (421 nucleotides) under Escherichia coli. RNAcentral's name for it is "bacterial SSU rRNA". It matches the Rfam family "Bacterial small subunit ribosomal RNA", at positions 1126 to 1533 of the family's 1533-position model. Lineage: Bacteria; Pseudomonadati; Pseudomonadota; Gammaproteobacteria; Enterobacterales; Enterobacteriaceae. The record is from RNAcentral.